UGAGGAAUAUUGGACAAUGGAGGCAACUCUGAUCCAGCCAUGCCGCGUGAAGGACUAAGGCCCUAUGGGUCGUAAACUUCUUUUGACGGGGAGCAAUAAGGUCUACGUGUAGGCCGAUGAGAGUACUCGUCGAAUAAGCAUCGGCUAACUCCGUGCCAGCAGCCGCGGUAAUACGGAGGAUGCGAGCGUUAUCCGGAAUUAUUGGGUUUAAAGGGUGCGUAGGCUGUUUGUUAAGUCAGGGGUGAAAUACCGCAGCUCAACUGUGGAAUUGCCUUUGAUACUAGCAGGCUUGAAUACUGUUGCCGUGGGAGGAAUGAGUAGUGUAGCGGUGAAAUGCAUAGAUAUUACUCAGAACACCGAUUG
This 363-nucleotide ribosomal RNA is filed under the name uncultured bacterium. RNAcentral's name for it is "bacterial SSU rRNA". It matches the Rfam family "Bacterial small subunit ribosomal RNA", at positions 355 to 715 of the family's 1533-position model. The record is from RNAcentral.